RNAcentral lists this ribosomal RNA (460 nucleotides) under uncultured bacterium. RNAcentral describes it as "partial 16S ribosomal RNA". It matches the Rfam family "Bacterial small subunit ribosomal RNA", at positions 338 to 795 of the family's 1533-position model. The record is from RNAcentral.
CCUACGGGAGGCUGCAGUGAGGAAUAUUGGUCAAUGGACGAGAGUCUGAACCAGCCAAGUAGCGUGAAGGAUGACUGCCCUAUGGGUUGUAAACUUCUUUUAUAUGGGAAUAAAAUGUUCCACGUGUGGGAUUUUGUAUGUACCAUAUGAAUAAGGAUCGGCUAACUCCGUGCCAGCAGCCGCGGUAAUACGGAGGAUCCGAGCGUUAUCCGGAUUUAUUGGGUUUAAAGGGAGCGUAGGUGGAUUGUUAAGUCAGUUGUGAAAGUUUGCGGCUCAACCGUAAAAUUGCAGUUGAAACUGGCAGUCUGGAGUACAGUAGAGGUUGGCGGAAUUCGUGGUGUAGCGGUGAAAUGCUUAGAUAUCACGAAGAACUCCGAUUGCGAAGGCAGCUCACUGGACUGCAACUGACACUGAGGCUCGAAAGUGUGGGUAUCAAACAGGAUUAGAUACCCCGGUAGUC